This 582-nucleotide ribosomal RNA is filed under the name uncultured bacterium. RNAcentral's name for it is "bacterial SSU rRNA". It matches the Rfam family "Bacterial small subunit ribosomal RNA", at positions 331 to 929 of the family's 1533-position model. The record is from RNAcentral.
CCAGACUCCUACGGGAGGCAGCAGUGAGGAAUCUUCCACAAUGGGCGAAAGCCUGAUGGAGCAACGCCGCGUGAAGGAUGAAGGCCUUCGGGUUGUAAACUUCUUUUAUGAGUGAAGAAUAUGACGGUAACUCAUGAAUAAGCACCGGCUAACUACGUGCCAGCAGCCGCGGUCAUACGUAGGGUGCAAGCAUUAUCCGGAGUGACUGGGCGUAAAGAGUUGCGUAGGCGGUUUAAUAAGUGAAUAGUGAAACCUGGUGGCUCAACCAUACAGACUAUUAUUCAAACUGUUAAACUCGAGAGUGGUAGAGGUAACUGGAAUUUCUAGUGUAGGAGUGAAAUCCGUAGAUAUUAGAAGGAACACCAAUGGCGUAGGCAGGUUACUGGACCAUUUCUGACGCUAAGGCACGAAAGCGUGGGGAGCGAACUGGAUUAGAUACCCAGGUAGUCCACGCCGUAAACGAUGAGUGCUAAGUGUUGGUCUCAUAAGAGAUCAGUGCUGCAGCUAACGCAUUAAGCACUCCGCCUGGGGAGUACGACCGCAAGGUUGAAACUCAAAGGAAUUGACGGGGGCCCGCACAAG